Vicia faba (fava bean) is the source of this 237-nucleotide non-coding RNA. The record is from the annotation of a GenBank genome assembly. Lineage: Eukaryota; Viridiplantae; Streptophyta; Magnoliopsida; Fabales; Fabaceae.
AUGGACGACAUGGCGGCGAUAGUGAGACCUAAGUCAACUAGCCAUUCAUGUUCCACUCUAUUCCUAGGGUUCCUAUGGUAUACAACUCUGGCCUGGCAAGAUCAAUGGAGAAAACAUCGAAAACAGAGGAAGAGUGAUUUACCUGUCAGAGACGCUCGGACGACGACUCUAAUGGAAGAAUCGGAAACAACUCAGGUACGAUUAUGCUCUUCUUCUUCGCUGAUUUCUUUUUCUUAG